GGGGAUGUAGCUCAAUGGUAAAGUGCUUGCCUAAAAUAUGUGAGGCCCUGGGUUCAAUUCCCACUACCACCA
This 72-nucleotide transfer RNA is filed under the name Cavia porcellus (domestic guinea pig). It matches the Rfam family "tRNA". Rfam says of the family: Transfer RNA (tRNA) molecules are approximately 80 nucleotides in length. Their secondary structure includes four short double-helical elements and three loops (D, anti-codon, and T loops). The record is from Rfam by way of RNAcentral. Lineage: Eukaryota; Metazoa; Chordata; Mammalia; Rodentia; Caviidae.